ACGGCGGGUACGUUAAUAAAAAUUGAAAAGACUGCUAAAGUUGUAGUCUAGUCGUUCACUUCUUUUACAUUAAAAUAAAUGAUCGUAGUCCUUCUGCGUGCCUAUAGAUCUAUAUUAAACACGGGUUUUCUAUAGCUUUGUCUUAUAAUGGUCUUUAAUGCACCUUCUAAACACGAUCGCCGACGGACCAUAGACUUACAAUGCGCAUAGGUUUCCAUGUAUAUUCUAGACACGACCGCCAGAGCCACAGCUACCGGCAUUACACGUGCCGUGGUCAUUUUAAAUAAUAAUAUCUACAUAUUAUAAACAAUAAUAAUAAUAAUAAUAGUAAUAUGGUCUUCUACUUUUUGUGGUUCAUAGCGGCACAGCAGAAAACAGCUACCACACCUACCAGUUACCACCACCACGAAUAUAGGUACGGUACCACGCGCGUCCCCGCCACCACCGUUACCGCUGCCAAGGGGUUAUUGGCAUUAGAAUUUUUUUCUCUCUUCUCAUUAAAUUCCCUAACCGGAAGCUAAGUUACAAUAAUAAUAUAGUAUAAACAAUAUAUUGUGUGUCCCUCGACAUCGGCUUCGACGGUAGCGGCAAUACAGAUCGAAGUAGUCGAUGAUUCGAGCGUCAAAAACACGCGAUAAGCUCAAACGAUUUGACGUCUAUUCGUAUAAGAAUUUUGCAAAAACUACAACUAAAAAUGUCUAUAUUCUAUAAUGAAGACAGAAAAUUGUCAUUACCUAACCGUAUACUAAUGACCUAAUUCAUUUUAGAAACACUCUGUAUAGAUUGAAGAAGAUAAUAUCGAAAUCGAUAAUACAAAGGCAAAAAAUAUGUAUACGAAAAUAGUGAACGCCAUCUUAAUUUUAAUAGUAUUAUUUUUAUCGUUAUCAGUAUUACUGUUUAUUUAUUUGGAUAAUCGUAAAUCGCAAUGGAUUCUGGUAAGUCACAACUUCCGUGUCAGGGGGUGUACGGACAUUGUAUGGCUGUGCGCAUUUUUGGUUCUCUGGUGUCUGAUGGUGGGUAGCUAAAUAUAUGUUAUAUUUCUAUAUACCAAAGUUUGGAAAGUUCAUGAUUUUCUUAAACUGAGUUAUGUUAAGUUGUUAUGCAUUUAUA
This is a long non-coding RNA of Aphis gossypii (cotton aphid), 1110 nucleotides long. RefSeq lists it as uncharacterized. The record is from RefSeq and is a predicted model, not a curated record. Lineage: Eukaryota; Metazoa; Arthropoda; Insecta; Hemiptera; Aphididae. The transcript has 3 exons.